Molecule: unclassified non-coding RNA, 253 nt
Filed under: Dactylonectria estremocensis
Lineage: Eukaryota; Fungi; Ascomycota; Sordariomycetes; Hypocreales; Nectriaceae
Description: partial contains 5.8S ribosomal RNA, internal transcribed spacer 2, and large subunit ribosomal RNA
Source: RNAcentral
CGCACAUUGCGCCCGCUAGUAUUCUGGCGGGCAUGCCUGUUCGAGCGUCAUUUCAACCCUCAAGCCCCCGGGCUUGGUGUUGGGGAUCGGCGAGCCUCCGCGCCCGCCGUCCCCCAAAUCUAGUGGCGGUCUCGCUGUAGCUUCCUCUGCGUAGUAGCACACCUCGCACUGGGAAACAGCGCGGCCACGCCGUUAAACCCCCAACUUCUGAAAGUUUGACCUCGGAUCAGGUAGGAAUACCCGCUGAACUUAA